CGUGAGUAACCUGCCUCUAAGAGGGGAAUAAACAUUCUGAAAAGAAUGCUAAUACCGCAUAACAUAUAUUUAUCGCAUGGUAGAUAUAUCAAAGAUUUAUCGCUUAGAGAUGGACUCGCGUCCGAUUAGUUAGUUGGUGAGGUAACGGCUCACCAAGACUGCGAUCGGUAGCCGGACUGAGAGGUUGAACGGCCACAUUGGGACUGAGACACGGCCCAG
Molecule: ribosomal RNA, 219 nt
Filed under: uncultured bacterium
Lineage: Bacteria
Description: partial 16S ribosomal RNA
Rfam family: Bacterial small subunit ribosomal RNA
Source: RNAcentral